RNAcentral lists this long non-coding RNA (430 nucleotides) under Sus scrofa (pig). RNAcentral describes it as "lncRNA (ENSSSCG00015080455.1)". Lineage: Eukaryota; Metazoa; Chordata; Mammalia; Artiodactyla; Suidae. The record is from RNAcentral.
CGGCCAGAGGCUCCGACUUGGCCCCGGCGCUGCACCGGCCUGCGGUCCCUGUGUGUGGGCCUCGGUUUCCACGGGAGGUUGAGUGCAUUCUGCUGUGCGACCCUCUGGGGGCGGCAGGGGGCGCCCCCGGCCCACGGGAACGCGCUCGGGGGGACAAAGAGGGUGCGCGACAGCCAGAAGCAGCUCUGACAGGGCCACCGGCUCAGCCUAGUGUUGGGGACACAGGUCAGUGGAGCCCAGAAAUCCCACUGGGCCCUGGAAACGCAGAUGUGACAAUGGACAAGAUCCAUCUGAAAGUUUUGAAGAGAAUAAAGGAGGAGUAAAGAUGUAUAUCAAAGAAACUGGAUGUGGCUCUACCCUAGAGAAUAAGAGAAUCUUCCUGAAGAACUUCCCAAAUAAAAUACCUUGUUUUUCUUCGUGGAAUCUGAUC